This 253-nucleotide ribosomal RNA is filed under the name uncultured bacterium. RNAcentral describes it as "partial 16S ribosomal RNA". It matches the Rfam family "Bacterial small subunit ribosomal RNA", at positions 524 to 776 of the family's 1533-position model. The record is from RNAcentral.
UACGGGGGGUGCAAGCGUUGUUCGGAAUUAUUGGGCGUAAAGCGCGUGUAGGCGGUUUGAUUAGUCUGAUGUGAAAUCCCUCGGCUCAACUGAGGACGUGCGGAAGAAACUGCGAGGCUCGAGUCCGGGAGAGGAGGGUGGAAUUCCCAGUGUAGCGGUGAAAUGCGUAGAUAUUGGGAGGAACACCGGUGGCGAAGGCGGCCCUCUGGACCGGUACUGACGCUGAUGCGCGAAAGCGUGGGGAGCAAACGGG